Molecule: transfer RNA, 75 nt
Filed under: Lactobacillus sp.
Lineage: Bacteria; Bacillati; Bacillota; Bacilli; Lactobacillales; Lactobacillaceae
Also listed under: 2 other names
Description: tRNA-Gln
Rfam family: tRNA
About the family: Transfer RNA (tRNA) molecules are approximately 80 nucleotides in length. Their secondary structure includes four short double-helical elements and three loops (D, anti-codon, and T loops).
Source: RNAcentral
UGGGUAAUAGCGAAAUGGUAACGCAACGGACUCUGAAUCCGUAAUUUCUAGGUUCGAUCCCUAGUUACCCAAUCA